Molecule: long non-coding RNA, 647 nt
Filed under: Homo sapiens (human)
Lineage: Eukaryota; Metazoa; Chordata; Mammalia; Primates; Hominidae
Description: HSALNT0045364
Source: RNAcentral
AUGGAAUAGCAGUGUUCUGUAUAGUAUUCCUUCACAUAACAUUCAUAGUGAUAAUAAGAUGGAAUAUUCAGCAGAAACUUCUAUUAUGCAUGGUACUGGGCUCCAUUUUAUGAAAAACUUUCUUUCUUCUGGAGAAAAUUCAAUCAGAGUAGAUCAUUAUUUCUAAUUCCUCUUUGUAUUGCUUGUUCAUGCCAAAGAGGAGGAAAGACAUCUCUAAUACAUGAGAGUUUAAUAUGUGGUAAAUUACCAAGAUGUCAGCUCUAUAUUUGAUUGGAAUUAAUGUAAGUUUUUAGAAUAUGGCAUGCUGAAUCUAAAAAAUGGCCUAAUCACAUAAUGAGGAAAAGAAACAAUCAUUAUUUUCUCCUUUCUUUAUGCCCUUAAGGCACCACUGAGGAACUGAAGAAUGCAACAUGAAGAAACCAAUAUUUAAGUUGGGUUUUGAAGGAUUGGGAAGUUUUCUGGUCUGUUCUUGGCAAGGGUGGUGACAACAGAUGCUAAAAAAGCUGAUAUUCAGAAGCUGGACAUUAGAUGCUACAAGGAAAGUGCACUGAGUCUGUAUCAGAACAGAAUAUGAUUAUCUUGCCAUGUACAGGUACCACUCUAACUGUAAGACGAAAGAAAGGUAAACAAAACUCAAUAAUAUCACA